Gasterosteus aculeatus aculeatus (three-spined stickleback) is the source of this 848-nucleotide long non-coding RNA. NCBI's taxonomy places the organism in Eukaryota, Metazoa, Chordata, Actinopteri, Perciformes, Gasterosteidae. The record is from Ensembl.
GCUAUGGGUUAGUAGUAUAAUGCUAUGGAUUAGUAGUAUAAGGCUAUGGGUUAGUAGUAUAAGGCUAUGGGUUAGUAGUAUAAUGCUAUGGGUUAGUAAUACAAGGCUAUGGGUUAGUAAUAUAAGGCUGUGGGUUAGUAAUACAAGGCUAUGGGUUAGUAAUACAAGGCUAUGGGUUAGUAAUAUAAGGCUAUGGGUUAGUAAUAUAAGGCUAUGGGUUAGUAAUAUAAGGCUAUGGGUUAGUAAUAUAAGGCUAUGGGUUAGUAAUAUAAGGCUAUGGGUUAGUAGUAUAAUGCUAUGGAUUAGUAGUAUAAGGCUAUGGGUUAGUAGUAUAAGGCUAUGGGUUAGUAGUAUAAGGCUAUGGGUUAGUAAUACAAGGCUAUGGGUUAGUAGUAUAAUGCUAUGGAUUAGUAGUAUAAGGCUAUGGGUUAGUAGUAUAAGGCUAUGGGUUAGUAGUACAAGGCUAUGGGUUAGUAAUACAAGGCUAUGGGUUAGUAAUAUAAGGCUGUGGGUUAGUAAUACAAGGCUAUGGGUUAGUAAUAUAAGGCUAUGGGUUAGUAGUAUAAUGCUAUGGGUUAGUAGUACAAGGCCAUGGGUUAGUAAUACAAGGCUAUGGGUUAGUAAUAUAAGGCUAUGGGUUAGUAGUAUAAGGCUAUGGGUUAGUAAUAUAAGGCUAUGGGUUAGUAGUAUAAGGCUAUGGGUUAGUAAUAUAAGGCUAUGGGUUAGUAGUAUAAGGCUAUGGGUUAGUAAUAUCAGGCUAUGGGUUAGUAAUAUAAGGCUAUGGGUUAGUAAUAUAAGGCUAUGGGUUAGUAGUAUAAUGCUAUGGAUUAGUAGUAUAAGGCUAUGGG